This 326-nucleotide ribosomal RNA is filed under the name uncultured bacterium. RNAcentral's name for it is "bacterial SSU rRNA". It matches the Rfam family "Bacterial small subunit ribosomal RNA", at positions 32 to 336 of the family's 1533-position model. The record is from RNAcentral.
AAUCAACGCUGGCGGCGUGCCUCAGACAUGCAAGCCGAACGCUGCUGUUCGCCUUCGGGUGGACAGCGGAGUGGCGCACGGGUGAGUAACACGUAGGUAAUCUACCUUUGGGUGGGGAAUAACAGCCGGAAACGGCUGCUAAUACCGCAUAAUGCAGCGGCAUCACAUGAUGACAGUUGUUAAAGCGGGGGAUCGUAAGACCUCGCGCCUGAAGAGGAGCCUGCGGCAGAUUAGGUAGUUGGUGAGGUAAUGGCUCACCAAGCCUGCGAUCUGUAACCGGCCUGAGAGGGCGGUCGGUCACACUGACACUGACAUACGGGUCAGGC